AAUCAACGCUGGCGGCGUGCCUAACACAUGCAAGUCGCACGAGAAAACGGUAGCAAUAUCGUGAGUAAAGUGGCGCACGGGUGAGUAACACGUGACUAACCUACCCUAGAGUGGGGGAUAACCUCGGGAAACCGGGGCUAAUACCGCAUAAUAUCCUCGACCGCAAGGUUGAUGAUCAAAGGAGUAAUCCGCUUUUGGAGGGGGUCGCGGCUGAUUAGCUAGUUGGUGAGGUAAUGGCUCACCAAGGCAGUGAUCAGUAUCCGGCCUGAGAGGGCGCACGGACACACUGGAACUGAAACACGGUCCAGACUCCUACGGGAGGCAGCAGUGGGGAAUUUUGCACAAUGGGGGAAACCCUGAUGCAGCAACGCCGCGUGGAGGAUGAAGGUCUUUGGAUUGUAAACUCCUUUCGAUCGGGACGAUUAUGACGGUACCGGAAGAAGAAGCACCGGCUAACUCUGUGCCAGCAGCCGCGGUAAUACAGAGGGUGCAAGCGUUGUUCGGAAUUAUUGGGCGUAAAGGGCGCGUAGGCGGUGCGGUAAGUCUUUUGUGAAAUCUCCGGGCUCAACUCGGAGUCUGCAAGGGAAACUGCCGUGCUUGAGUGUGGGAGAGGUGAGUGGAAUUCCCGGUGUAGCGGUGAAAUGCGUAGAUAUCGGGAGGAACACCUGUGGCGAAAGCGGCUCACUGGACCACAACUGACGCUGAGGCGCGAAAGCUAGGGGAGCAAACAGGAUUAGAUACCCUGGUAGUCCUAGCCCUAAACGAUGAUUGCUUGGUGUAGCAGGUACCCAAUCCUGCUGUGCCGAAGCUAACGCGAUAAGCAAUCCGCCUGGGGAGUACGGUCGCAAGGCUG
This 853-nucleotide ribosomal RNA is filed under the name uncultured bacterium. RNAcentral describes it as "bacterial SSU rRNA". It matches the Rfam family "Bacterial small subunit ribosomal RNA", at positions 28 to 896 of the family's 1533-position model. The record is from RNAcentral.